RNAcentral lists this ribosomal RNA (253 nucleotides) under uncultured bacterium. Its description in RNAcentral is "partial 16S ribosomal RNA". It matches the Rfam family "Bacterial small subunit ribosomal RNA", at positions 524 to 776 of the family's 1533-position model. The record is from RNAcentral.
GACGAACCGUCCAAACGUUAUUCGGAAUUACUGGGCUUAAAGGGUGCGUAGGCGGUGCGGUAAGUUGGGUGUGAAAUCCCUCGGCUCAACCGAGGAACUGCGCCCAAUACUGCCGUGCUGGAGGGAGAUAGGGGUAAGCGGAACUGAUGGUGGAGCGGUGAAAUGCGUUGAUAUCAUCAGGAACACCGGUGGCGAAAGCGGCUUACUGGAUCUCUUCUGACGCUGAUGCACGAAAGCUAGGGGAGCGAACGGG